GGAUGAUGUUCUGGUGGGCGCCACGUCCAUCACGCCAUGCCUUGGCAGAGGGGCCAUCGACAGUCUUCUGUGUGGCGGUGUAGGCAUGAACUGUGGUCAUGAGAGCCUCCUCAAUACCAAAGUUGUCAUGAAUAACUUUAGCCAGAGGAGCCAAGCAGUUAGUGGUGCAGGAUGCAUUGCUGACAAUGGUCAUGCUGGAGGGGUCAUAUUUGUCCUGGUUGACUCCCAUCACA
Molecule: unclassified non-coding RNA, 233 nt
Filed under: Hevea brasiliensis (rubber tree)
Lineage: Eukaryota; Viridiplantae; Streptophyta; Magnoliopsida; Malpighiales; Euphorbiaceae
Source: RNAcentral